RNAcentral lists this ribosomal RNA (280 nucleotides) under uncultured Acetivibrio sp. RNAcentral's name for it is "partial 16S ribosomal RNA". It matches the Rfam family "Bacterial small subunit ribosomal RNA", at positions 77 to 355 of the family's 1533-position model. Lineage: Bacteria; Bacillati; Bacillota; Clostridia; Acetivibrionales; Acetivibrionaceae. The record is from RNAcentral.
AAGAAUUAAAUUAACUUAGUGGCGGACGGGCGAGUAACACGUGAGCAACCUGCCUCUUACAGGGGAAUAACAACGGGAAACCGUUGCUAAUACCGCAUAACAUGUUAAAAGGGCAUCCUUUUAACAUCAAAGGAGUAAUCCGGUAAGAGAUGGGCUCGCGUCCGAUUAGCUAGUUGGUAGGGUAACGGCCUACCAAGGCGACGAUCGGUAGCCGGACUGAGAGGUCGAACGGCCGCAUUGGGACUGAGACACGGCCCAGACUCCUACGGGAGGCAGCAGC